Haemonchus contortus (barber pole worm) is the source of this 87-nucleotide non-coding RNA. The record is from Rfam. Lineage: Eukaryota; Metazoa; Nematoda; Chromadorea; Rhabditida; Trichostrongylidae.
ACUUGGAGCAAGGAUGGGGUUAGGUGCAUUCGAGUAUGUCCUCGGGUAGUCGGAUAUUCGAGUCCCUGCUCCCAGCCAACCUAGACA